GGUGGUUCUGAUCAGCAAAUAAGGAAGGGACAACAUCUGACAUCUUUACCUAUUUUAACUCAUCAAGCAAAGAACUUGGAAUACCCUGAAUGCUGCAUAGAAGGUUUUGAAACUACUUACCUGCUAUGGAACACCUGCAUGACUUUAAAAUGCAUCCAUCAAUCUCAAGAGUGUGGCCACGCUUCCCACUUUUUAGGAUCUAAAGUCAACUGCAACUCCGAGUGCACAAGACUUCUUUGGGACCCACGAAAGUGUCUCUACAUGCUCAUGUUUGCCAGAUUCAGUGGUCUGCUGAAACCUGACCCUAGCUAAUCAGUUAAAAAGCUCUAAGUAAUCCCGAGCUGCAUCUGAAUGUCCAAGAUCACUUGUUCAUUGGUUGGUAAUACUUUAAAGAGCCGUUUGUUUAACUGCUAAUCUGGAUCUUAUAUUCUGAGCCCCAGUUUUUUUCUAAAGCAAAGAAAAUACAACAUAAAAGUAAGACCAAACGCCUUUGUACCAUGGAGAGAGAACUGACUCAUUGGAAUGCUUCUGUUUUUCAUCACAUCAAACAUGCAUCAACAUAAAUCGAUCAUUAUAUCAUGUACCAUCAUAAAAAAGGGGUAUAAAAGCUCCCAAACCACUGCCAAUUAAACCAACACAGUGCUUUUGUAUUAUUCAGAAUUUUUAUCUUAGCCUUAUUGAAAGAGCUUUUUUAGAACAUAUUUAAACAAUUCUGUCAUAUUUCAUUCUUGCAUAAUCAUUAAAAAGGGAAAUAAGAGAGAUAUAAAUGAAA
Long non-coding RNA from Rhinopithecus roxellana (golden snub-nosed monkey), 772 nucleotides. RefSeq lists it as uncharacterized. The record is from RefSeq and is a predicted model, not a curated record. The transcript has 2 exons. Lineage: Eukaryota; Metazoa; Chordata; Mammalia; Primates; Cercopithecidae.